GACGAACGCUGGCGGCGUGCCUAAUACAUGCAAGUCGAACGAGAGCAACCGGUGCUUGCACUGGUCAAUCGAGUGGCGAACGGGUGGGUAACACGUGGGUAACCUGCCCAUCAGAGGGGGAUAACAUCCGGAAACGGAUGCUAAAACCGCAUAGGUCUUCGAACCGCAUGGUUUGAAGAGGAAAAGAGGCGCAAGCUUCUGCUGAUGGAUGGACCCGCGGUGCAUUAGCUAGUUGGUGAGGUAACGGCUCACCAAGGCCGUGAUGCAUAGCCGACCUGAGAGGGUGAUCGGCCACAUUGGGACUGAGACACGGCCCAAACUCCUACGGGAGGCAGCAGUAGGGAAUCUUCCGCAAUGGACGCAAGUCUGACGGAGCAACGCCGCGUGAGUGAAGAAGGUUUUCGGAUCGUAAAACUCUGUUGUUAGAGAAGAACAAGUGCUAGAGUAACUGUUAGCGCCUUGACGGUAUCUAACCAGAAAGCCACGGCUAACUACGUG
RNAcentral lists this ribosomal RNA (498 nucleotides) under uncultured bacterium. RNAcentral's name for it is "partial 16S ribosomal RNA". It matches the Rfam family "Bacterial small subunit ribosomal RNA", at positions 28 to 507 of the family's 1533-position model. The record is from RNAcentral.